GGAAUAUUGGGCAAUGGGCGCAAGCCUGACCCAGCGACGCCGCGUGAGGGAUGAAGGCCUUCGGGUUGUAAACCUCUUUCAGUAGGGAAGAAGCGAAAGUGACGGUACCUAAAGAAGAAGCACCGGCUAACUAUGUGCCAGCAGCCGCGGUAAUACAUAGGGUGCAAGCGUUGUCCGGAAUUAUUGGGCGUAAAGAGCUCGUAGGUCGUUUGCCGCGUCGACUGUGAAAAUCUGAGGCUCAACCUCAGACCUGCAGUCGAUACGGGCAAACUAGAGUGUGGUAGGGGAGACUGGAAUUCCUGGUGUAGCGGUGGAAUGCGCAGAUAUCAGGAGGAACACCAAUGGCGAAGGCAGGUCUCUGGGCCAUAACUGACACUGAGGAGCGAAAGCGCGGGGAGCGAACAGGAUUAGAUACCCUGGUAGUCCGCGCCGUAAACGAUGGGCACUAGCUGUGAGAGCCUUCCACGGUUCUCGCGACGCAGCAAACGCAUUAAGUGCCCCGCCUGGGGAGUACGAUCGCAAGAUUAAAACUCAAAGGAAUUGACGG
RNAcentral lists this ribosomal RNA (547 nucleotides) under uncultured bacterium. RNAcentral's name for it is "bacterial SSU rRNA". It matches the Rfam family "Bacterial small subunit ribosomal RNA", at positions 358 to 916 of the family's 1533-position model. The record is from RNAcentral.